UGUUUCGGCUAGGGGGCCAUCCCGGCUUACCAACCCGAUGCAAACUGCGAAUACCGGAGAAUGUUAUCACGGGAGACACACGGCGGGUGCUAACGUCCGUCGUGAAGAGGGAAACAACCCAGACCGCCAGCUAAGGUCCCAAAGUCAUGGUUAAGUGGGAAACGAUGUGGGAAGGCCCAGACAGCCAGGAUGUUGGCUUAGAAGCAGCCAUCAUUUAAAGAAAGCGUAAUAGCUCACUGGUCGAGUCGGCCUGCGCGGAAGAUGUAACGGGGCUAAACCAUGCACCGAAGCUGCGGCAGCGAACGUAUCACUUAAAGCGAUUCAGCGGAUUACGAUUGACGGAGCGAAGCGACGUCAAAGCGUAUACAAAGUCGAGUCGGUUUAAGGAUACGUUCGUUGGGUAGGGGAGCGUUCUGUAAGCCUGUGAAGGUGGCCUGUGAGGGUUGCUGGAGGUAUCAGAAGUGCGAA
This 468-nucleotide ribosomal RNA is filed under the name Salmonella enterica subsp. enterica serovar Kentucky. RNAcentral describes it as "partial 23S ribosomal RNA". It matches the Rfam family "Bacterial large subunit ribosomal RNA", at positions 911 to 1294 of the family's 2925-position model. Lineage: Bacteria; Pseudomonadati; Pseudomonadota; Gammaproteobacteria; Enterobacterales; Enterobacteriaceae. The record is from RNAcentral.